AGGUCCGUGGUGUAACCGGUAGCACGGCGAGCUCCAACCUCGCUGGUCCGGGUCGAUCCCUGGCGGACCUG
RNAcentral lists this transfer RNA (71 nucleotides) under Actinomycetes bacterium. RNAcentral's name for it is "Actinobacteria bacterium tRNA-Trp". It matches the Rfam family "tRNA". From Rfam's summary of the family: Transfer RNA (tRNA) molecules are approximately 80 nucleotides in length. Their secondary structure includes four short double-helical elements and three loops (D, anti-codon, and T loops). The record is from RNAcentral. Lineage: Bacteria; Bacillati; Actinomycetota; Actinomycetes. RNAcentral also lists the same sequence under 1 other name.